Molecule: ribosomal RNA, 600 nt
Filed under: uncultured bacterium
Lineage: Bacteria
Description: bacterial SSU rRNA
Rfam family: Bacterial small subunit ribosomal RNA
Source: RNAcentral
UGACGCUGAGGCACGAAAAGCAUGGGUAGCAAACAGGAUUAGAUACCCUGGUAGUCCAUGCCGUAAACGAUGAUUACUAGGUGUGGGGGGAUUGACCCCUUCCGUGCCGCAGUUAACACAAUAAGUAAUCCACCUGGGGAGUACGGCCGCAAGGUUGAAACUCAAAGGAAUUGACGGGGGCCCGCACAAGCAGUGGAGUAUGUGGUUUAAUUCGAAGCAACGCGAAGAACCCUACCAGGUCUUGACAUCGAGUGACGUAUCCAGAGAUGGAUAUUCCCUACGGGGCACGAAGACAGGUGGUGCAUGGUUGUCGUCAGCUCGUGUCGUGAGAUGUUGGGUUAAGUCCCGCAACGAGCGCAACCCUUGCUGUUAGUUGCUACGCAAGAGCACUCUAACAGGACUGCCGUUGAUAAAACGGAGGAAGGUGGGGACGACGUCAAAUCAUCAUGCCCCUUAUGACCUGGGCUACACACGUACUACAAUGGCCGUAAACAAAGGGAAGCAAAGGAGCGAUCCGGAGCAAACCCCCAAAAACGGUCCCAGUUCAGAUUGUAGGCUGCAACCCGCCUACAUGAAGUUGGAAUUGCUAGUAAUCGCAGA